Molecule: transfer RNA, 72 nt
Filed under: Diaphorina citri (Asian citrus psyllid)
Lineage: Eukaryota; Metazoa; Arthropoda; Insecta; Hemiptera; Psyllidae
Rfam family: tRNA
About the family: Transfer RNA (tRNA) molecules are approximately 80 nucleotides in length. Their secondary structure includes four short double-helical elements and three loops (D, anti-codon, and T loops).
Source: Rfam by way of RNAcentral
ACUCCCAUGGCGUAUUGGUCACUGCGCUCGCCUUGCACGCGGGAGACCCGGGUUCGAUUCCCGGUGGGGUCA